UUCGGAGUAGCUUAGUGGAGAGAGCAGUCGCCCGGCAAGCGAAAGACCCGGGUUCAAUUCCCGGCCUCGGUU
The sequence is a transfer RNA, 72 nucleotides long. It matches the Rfam family "tRNA". Rfam says of the family: Transfer RNA (tRNA) molecules are approximately 80 nucleotides in length. The record is from Rfam.